AACGAACGCUGGCGGCAGGCUUAACACAUGCAAGUCGAACGCAUCCUUCGGGAUGAGUGGCAGACGGGUGAGUAACGCGUGGGAAUCUACCCAUCCCUACGGGAUAGCUCCGGGAAACUGGAAUUAAUACCGUAUACGUCCUUCGGGAGAAAGAUUUAUCGGGGAUGGAUGAGCCCGCGUUGGAUUAGCUAGUUGGUGGGGUAAAGGCCUACCAAGGCGACGAUCCAUAGCUGGUCUAAGAGGAUGAUCAGUCACAUUGGGACUGAGACACGGCCCAAACUCCUACGGGAGGCAGCAGUGGGGAAUAUUGGACAAUGGGCGCAAGCCUGAUCCAGCCAUGCCGCGUGAGUGAUAAAGGCCCUAGGGUUGUAAAGCUCUUUCAGUGGGGACGAUAAUGACGGUACCCACAGAAGAAGCCCCGGCUAACCUCGUGCCAGCAGCCGCGGUAA
RNAcentral lists this ribosomal RNA (449 nucleotides) under uncultured bacterium. RNAcentral describes it as "partial 16S ribosomal RNA". It matches the Rfam family "Bacterial small subunit ribosomal RNA", at positions 29 to 523 of the family's 1533-position model. The record is from RNAcentral.